RNAcentral lists this long non-coding RNA (1265 nucleotides) under Phasianus colchicus (ring-necked pheasant). Its description in RNAcentral is "lncRNA (ENSPCLG00000008934.1)". The record is from RNAcentral. Lineage: Eukaryota; Metazoa; Chordata; Aves; Galliformes; Phasianidae.
AUGUAUUCCACCUCUGAAUACCACCACAUGCCACAGUUAGGAAAGCUGGCACGAAUCUGGGAGAUGAAAAGUCCCAUCAUUCCUCUUCUUCGUAGUACCAGGCCCACCAACAAGGGAAAUAUCUCCCACACUCUGAGCAUGACACAAAUUCACCAGAGCUCCUGCACAGCCGCAGAUGGAACUCACUGGGGUGCCCCAUGUGCAGCCAGCUCCUCUGCCUUCCCAUGCCACCAUUUCCCUUCCAGGCAAGCACCUGCCCAGGCACACACACAUUGUGACGUGGGGAGAGUGAAGCCAUUGCCAUACCAGAUGUUUCCUACUGCUGAGGAGCACGGAGGAGGAAAUUCCCACUGGAGCAGGACUGCAAUCCAAGAGGCCCCUCUGCCUGCAGAUUAACGGAGAAGCAGCUGAUGGGCUGUGCUGCUCCUGCAUCCUCUCCUUGCACCCAGCACCCUGCAGCAGGUGUGGAUGAGAGGAGCUGCCCCAAGGCAUCUCCAGAUCCACACACGGACCUCUGCAAACCCUGCAGAGCCCUCAGGGUUAUCGAUUCCUCACACUCCCUGCUCAGUUACAUGCUCCGUGGAAGAAAGCUGCUUUAUCAGCUCUGGCUGAUCCUGUUAUCGCUGCCAGCACAUGCCUUCAUUCUUGCACUACAAAAAAAAGAAAAAAAAAGUAGUAAAUCCAAAUCUCUUGACUCAACUCCUCACACUUAUUCAUGACCACAGAUAUUUUUUAUCCUGUCUCCUGCUAUGUUCCUUUUCUAAUGUAAACCACAUCCUACAUUUCCAUGUCUUUCCUUUGAAACUUCAGUGUCCUUUUGGAUGGAGAUAUGGGAUUUUGACUGAGCCCUCCAGACAUUAAUACAAUAAUAGCAGCAAGUGCAGAAAUGCAAUAAUACAGCCCAUUGUGCUGUCUGUUGCCUUGUGCUGGCCCAGCAGCCUGUAACACAGCUCGUGCUGCAUCAGCACAAGAGGGCUCGUAGCUUUUCCCCAUGCCUUAUCCCACUGCCACCAAUCCACUUCACUACUUAGCACACCGUACAUGAUACUCAGGCAUUCCCCCCAAACAGACAAUCUAUUGAAAUGCAGCUGAGAGAGGAGGAGAACGUGCCCACAAACAGGUCCUAACGAGAUGAGCUUCCAAUGUCUUCUAUCAGCCUAUUGAAGGCUGCCACUUUGUGUGCUUAUACAGCUUUGGGAAGAAAGCCUCCAUCCAGCACCGCAACAACAACAGCAGGAUGGGAAUAAACACUUGGCUGCAGAUCA